GGUUCAGGAUGAACGCUGGCGGCGUGCCUAACACAUGCAAGUCGAACGAAGCACUUUGUUACGAUCCCUUCGGGGUGACGACUUUGUGACUGAGUGGCGGACGGGUGAGUAACGCGUGGGAAAUCUGCCCUAUACCGGGGGAUAACAGUUGGAAACGACUGCUAAUACCGCAUAAGCGCACGAGAUGGCAUCAUCUAGUGUGAAAAACUCCGGUGGUAUAGGAUGGUCCCCGCGUCUGAUUAGCUAGUUGGUGAGGUAACGGCCCACCAAGGCGACGAUCAGUAGCCGACCUGAGAGGGUGACCGGCCACAUUGGGACUGAGACACGGCCCAAACUCCUACGGGAGGCAGCAGUGGGGAAUAUUGCACAAUGGGCGAAAGCCUGAUGCAGCCGACGCCGCGUGAGCGAUGAAGUAUUUCGGUAUGUAAAGCUCUAUCAGCAGGGAAGAAAAAAUGACGGUACCUGAUUAAGAAGCUCCGGCUAAAUACGUGCCAGCCGCCGC
Molecule: ribosomal RNA, 502 nt
Filed under: uncultured bacterium
Lineage: Bacteria
Description: bacterial SSU rRNA
Rfam family: Bacterial small subunit ribosomal RNA
Source: RNAcentral